Molecule: non-coding RNA, 28 nt
Filed under: Homo sapiens (human)
Lineage: Eukaryota; Metazoa; Chordata; Mammalia; Primates; Hominidae
Source: RNAcentral
UACAGUGACUUUGCACCCAACGGUACCU